GGGAGCCGCGCGCCUUUGUGCGCGCCGAGGUUUGCAAAUAACCACCUGUACAGAAGGGAGAAGAAAGAAACAGGAAAAACAAUGUAAAUUUCCACUUUAUUUGGAAGAAUGGGCUGACAAAAAAGUUUCAUGGACUAUAUUUUUGAAUUCAGGAGUCAUUUGGGAUUGACUUUUGUCUUUAAAUGAAAUCUUUAAGCUUUAAAAAUAUUUUAAAGGUAACAUUGUGUUCUGAGAUUCAUAAGAAAUAUGUGAUGGAAAGGAAUUCUUGUUUGUGGAACAAAGAAUAGCAGUGAUUGUACAACCGGGUGCAUGCUGGCUUCUUAAAGACCUUGCACUGAGAAAGUAAAAUAAGGGUUUUUCUGAGAGUCGUGAGUUGUGUUGAGUGUGUAUGUUCUUUUAAAAUAAAAUCGUUCUUUAGCCACA
Molecule: small RNA, 423 nt
Filed under: Pan troglodytes (chimpanzee)
Lineage: Eukaryota; Metazoa; Chordata; Mammalia; Primates; Hominidae
Description: processed transcript
Source: RNAcentral